Pezoporus flaviventris is the source of this 1340-nucleotide long non-coding RNA. RefSeq lists it as uncharacterized. NCBI's taxonomy places the organism in Eukaryota, Metazoa, Chordata, Aves, Psittaciformes, Psittacidae. The record is from RefSeq and is a predicted model, not a curated record. The transcript has 2 exons.
UACUUAAAGUUUGUAAAACCAGAAAUAAAUUGUAUGUUAACAACUCUUAACUCUUUCUUUUCAUCUUUACAGUUCACCUGCUUUGUCACUAACUUUUUUUUUUUUUAAGAUGGCCUAGUUGCUUUAAAAUCAGUUGUGAAAUACUAAUCUGGUAACACCACUGCUCAACAUGGGAUCCUGUAAUUGUUAAACUUCUGCGUGUUAAAACAGCAGGAUUAAAACUUCAGUCUUUUAGGUCAGAGUAUGGGGGAAAGUUACCGGAGUUCAAAUACAUUAAAUCAGAAUUUUAGGACAUAAGUGUUCGACAUGUUAUCGUUCUUGCCAUUUCAUUUUAAGAUGAAGCGUGGCUAGCGUGGUUCUUCAUAACAUAAUUCUGAGGUCCUUGUCUUCAUCAGUCAGGAUAAUGCUUUAAAACAGUAUUUAUCAGUGUGCAGCAGCAGCGAAUUAAAAGCUUGUGUGAAGAUAGUGGAAGGCUUCGGUACGGAAACACUGUUCAUGAAAUCCAGUGGUAAUAAAACCCGGGAGCAACUGUAAAAGUUAGGCUUACAACAGCAAAAAAGACCAUCUUUACAGAGCGGGUAGUCAGCUUCUGGAAGUUGUUGUCAGGGCAGGUUUUCCUGGCUAGUGUCAGGAGAGUCAAAAGGAUGGGAUGCAUUCAUGGAUUAGUAACACCUGCUAAAGGGAAUAGAUAGGAAUAUGUAUUUUAGGAUCUUUAACACAGUGAUUGUGUGUAAUGUUAGUACAAGGAAAAUGAGGCCCAAAGUGAGCAGGUUCACAUGUUCUCCCUAAAAGUCUGCUGCUGCUGGAAGCAAACUGUUGGGCAAGAAGGAUCAAGGGUGUCUCUUCCUCAUCUUGCUUGAGUGGUGGUGUCUCCAUGCACCUUUGGGAACUCAGAAGCCGAGGUGUAAACUGACAGGGAGUGUCUUAUUAUAGAGGUGGAGCUUUCUGUUUUAGUGUGCUCUCUCCAAUCCAGGAUCCAGAGGUUUUUCCCCUAGAAUAUUCUUUGAGGAUCCUUAGAUGUUUCAGCUGGAAGAAGAAAAAGUUAAUAGUUGAUGAGACAAUAAUUUUAAGCCGGUAUUUCUGAAAUCUCACUACCAGUUACAGCCUGAAGCCAAAUGCAUGGAUUAUGUAUCUUUUAGAUACACAACUAAAUGUCUUUGCUCAAAAAUUCAUUGAUCUUCCACAGAUAUGCUGUCCGAAGAACAAGCAUGUGAAUUUGAGGGGAACAUUUCUUCGUUUAUGGGGAUUCUUUCAAGUGUUACAACAAUUCUAAGCACAAAUCUGAGGGGAAAAAUGGAAUGGAAAAUGUAACCUAUAUAAAUGACCUAAAUAAAAUAUAU